This is a long non-coding RNA of Mercenaria mercenaria, 791 nucleotides long. RefSeq lists it as uncharacterized. The record is from RefSeq and is a predicted model, not a curated record. Lineage: Eukaryota; Metazoa; Mollusca; Bivalvia; Venerida; Veneridae. The transcript has 3 exons.
UAAUUGGAGCAGGAGUGAUUGGAUUAUAAUUAGUUAAAGAUUAUAAUUAGUCUCUGCAACGAAAUGGGAUAACAGUUGGUGACGGAAUGCAGGGGCUCUUUCAUCACUCUUCUCCCUUGAAGAAGACCGGGCGGUUAUUGAAUGGGCACAGGUGAAAGCCACCCUUACCACAGAUGAACACUUUGCGCACCAUGGAGUGGAUUGUUGGUAAUCUGUCCAAGUCUCACCCAAACCUGAGCAAAGUCGCUACAGUGGGACUGCUUCUACUAACCUCCACAGCUGAUUGUGAGAGAGGUUUCAGCAGUUGAAUGUGUAAAGACCACCCACCAUUCACCCGUGAGCAUAAAAGUGCUUAAUGCCUUACUCAUGGUGUCCAUGCAGGGACAAAAAUUGAAUGACUUUAAUUUCAGUGGUGCAAUAAAGGAAUGGCACAGAGCCAAAGACAGACACUUACCGUAUAUGAAAACAAAAAUGCCUAUGUGCUGUUAGUGUUAGUACAAAAGAAGUGGAAGGACAUAUGUGUUGUUUGAAAAUACAUAUAAAAGAAGUGGACAUCUGUUUAGUGUAUAUGAUAUAUUGAUGGUUAUAUGAUUAUGUAAAAAUGAAGAAAUAAUGAAAUACAUGUUGUUGUGUUUUUUUGCAUAUGGUAUACUUAAACAAGAGAUCACAGAGUGAUCUUGGCGCCCACCAAGUGCCAUUUUUGAGUGUUCCAAAUUUCAAGACUUACUGACUAGCUCAAGGUCAAAUUUCAUUUCCGUACACAACACUGUGCAUGUGGUCCAAACUCGAAA